Molecule: long non-coding RNA, 206 nt
Filed under: Musa acuminata (dwarf banana)
Lineage: Eukaryota; Viridiplantae; Streptophyta; Magnoliopsida; Zingiberales; Musaceae
Description: long non-coding RNA (MACU_LNC008170)
Source: RNAcentral
UUAUGGAUCAUCUUCUUGCCCAAGACAACUGGGGGUCAAGUAACAGAUGGCAUAUCUUGUUGCUGUUGGAAGGUGGGGGGCCAAACUGCCAUGGUCGGAUGCAUCACUGGCUGCUAUCAGUGAAGAAGAUGAAGUGCGUGGAGGCAUAUACGCGUAAUACAAGGAGAUAGAAAUGUGGGUCAUUUGAAAGGAAUGUCUCUACAGCC